UGGCGACGUGGAUACGGAAGCUGCAGCUGCUCACGCUGGUGCCGGGGGUGAAGACCCAGUCGGCGUUGGCGUUCCAGCCGCCGUCGCCGUC
This 91-nucleotide transfer RNA is filed under the name Streptomyces fuscichromogenes. RNAcentral's name for it is "tRNA-Thr". Lineage: Bacteria; Bacillati; Actinomycetota; Actinomycetes; Kitasatosporales; Streptomycetaceae. The record is from RNAcentral.